This is a long non-coding RNA of Peromyscus californicus insignis, 8510 nucleotides long. RefSeq lists it as uncharacterized. Lineage: Eukaryota; Metazoa; Chordata; Mammalia; Rodentia; Cricetidae. The transcript has 3 exons. The record is from RefSeq and is a predicted model, not a curated record.
UGCGCGUAUGUGCGCCCCUCUCUUGGCUACCCUCGUGGUCUUGGAUGCUAGUGCGGAUCAAGGCCGAGCUCCCCAGAGAACUGAGUUGGACCGUGCCCCACCCCUCCAGGAUUCCACGACCAACUCCUUUAUUCCCGUUGCCCCAAGUGACCAGCAUCAGCACCGUCAACUGCGCUCAGGAGUGAGUAUGGAUUGGGCCCCUUCCCCUUUUACUGCUUCACGCUGCUGUGUGCCAGGUUUCGCAAACAUGAUAUGUAUGUGUGCAGCCUUUCAUACCUCACCCACAGGAGUUCUGGGCUUUGCUUCUCAGCUGAUUUCCCAAAGAUGAAGAGGAAAUGUGUUUAUUCAUUUAAAUUGCUUCAUGUAAGGAUCCGCUCAGCUGAACACCUGGAUUGUAUUUUGAUAAUGUCCUGAUGUUGAUGUUGAGAGAGCUUGAUAAUUCAAUAACGAUGUAAUGCAUCCUAUUUUUUUAAAACAGAAACUUGGCUGGAUUUCGGCUAAGUAAACAGAAGAGGUUUCUUUUAAGAAAAUGGUAAAGGAACACAUUUGCAAAGUCACCAGAUGAGAGACCAGCACUCCUCCUGGCAGUUCUGUCCGCAUUUGGCACUUUUUAGGUCACCUCCAGAAUGACACAACGUCUCUGUGGGCCUCAUCCCAUCUGCUGUCUGUCAUGGCCUGGGGCCCAUCACUCCUAAGCCGCCCCUCCUGCCUUCCGGGCAGGCCUGGGCCUUCAGUGUGAGCAGCCCCCCCCCCCCCCCGGAGAAGCCACGCCUCCUGUAGCAUUUCCACAUGUCUCAGGAUAACAUAUCACCCCACGUCUCUGUCCAGCCAGCAGCUACAGGAGGAAACUGCCUGAUGUCGUCUGGGCCUACUCCAAAGCUGUCCUACAGCCAUGGUAGCUAGGAGAGAGCUGCUUUCAAAGCUGAAGGCAAGCAGACAAACAGCCUGAAACCUGUUAUUCACACCAGCAUCAGACUAUCAAAGACAGCCCCAUGGCCUCUUGUGGUCGCUGAGCUGAAGAUAUGUAACCAGUUGUCAGGGUAAAGACAGUUCCAUCCUGCCUGUUUCCAUGGUCCGUCUCUCACCUGGAAGCUCCCUGGAGAAGGCCAGUAGAGUGUGGGCAGCAGUGACAUUCAGUGAGGGGAGUCUCUAGAUCUGGUUUUCACUGGAAGACUCUGGUGGUUCCACAGCCCUUCCGGAGGCUUGCUGGUCAUGGUGCUGCCUCUCUGGCUUGCCAUGCUCCAGCUGAACAAUUUUGUGAGCAUUCUGGCAGCCUCUGUACCCGGAAAGUGCCUUUCUUGGACAGGGAACUAGAAAUACUAGCUCAUGGGAGCUUAGACCGGCCAAGACCAACUGCAGAUUUUGCAUAUGGAAGGCAAGGACCUUAAAAGCCAAAUUUUGAAAGAAAGCAAAAAGUGGUAGUCGAGGAAAGAGCCAAACACUGGAGGAAAAAAAGGAAUUUUUAAGCAGAGAAAGAAAACGUUGACCAAGACACGGAGGGAACCGUGAUGGUUCCGAGAGGGCGCUGAAAGCUGCUGGUUCUUGCUCAGGCCGAAAGCCCUUCACUGCAUUAUGAAGACAUCUUGGAUACGUCCAAUAGCGUAGGCAUCUUCUGUGUCCUUCGCUGGGUUUCAAGCAGAUACACAGAGGAGGAUGACUGGGGUGGGAGCUGUCCAGGUGUGAGCAUCUCCUAAUGCAAGGUCCGUAGGAAUCCUCGCACCAGAUUGAGCUGGGCAGCUGUCCUCACACAGUCGCGUGUCCUCGUGUGUCCCACAGUCCUAAUGUCCAGUGAAGGAAGGCGCUAGAUGGUCCUACAGACGGCGUGGACCACCCAUCGGAGGGGCUGGAGUUUCACACCAGCUCAGCUCAAGUGAAAGAGAGCAUAAUCUGUCUUCCAUCUGGUCCUCUUGGACCGCUUGGCCACACUGGAAAUAAACGGACAGUUUCGGGGUGGUUUGCCGGCCCGGGUUCCUGAAGGCAUGGGAAUUUGGAGUCCUCGCAGCCACGGCACAGACUGCCCUCAGUGCAACUCAUCAUUUCUCACCAGCUCUUCCCUGCAGGUCACCUGCCGACGGUGGCCUAUCCCAACGCCAAGCCAGUGGGGACAGAUGGCCCAAGAUGAUAAGACGACCUCAGAGCAGCCACAGCGUUAGGACUAGAACGCCCUGAUUUUACCGAUAAGGAAGCUGAAACCAGGCAGGAAGAAACCACUGCUUCUGGUUCACGCUCCGCUUCCCCGCUGGCUUUUCCCCUCCUCCACUUUCACGUGCAUGUGUACAUGUUCACAUGUGUGGGGGCACACGUGUGUGCACAGAAUGCGGAGGGCCAAGGCUGAUGUUGGGAAUCAUCUUUGAUUGCUCUCCCAUCUCAUUCACUAAGGCAGGGUCUGUCAGUCAAACCAGAGCUGGCCCCUAUGGCUUGCCCUGUUGGUCCCCCAUGCCCACCUCCUAAGGCUCGAAUUACCGGUGGGCGGCAGUGGCUACCUGGCUUCUACAUGGGUUCUCGGAUCCAAACUCAGGGUCUUAUACUCGCAGGGCAGGUGUUUCAACACAAAUCUCUCAGCCCAGUGAUUAUUUCUGAACUCCAAGGCUUAGCAGAAUACAUGGCCCAAGGAAGAUGCUCAGCGAUGUUUGAGAAAGGAGGGAAGAGGGGUAUGAAGGGAGGAGAAUGUGCUAAGCUCACUCCUGUGACUGUAUAGACCUCACCCCACCGCCUCUCCCCAGAGUGCCGACCCCUGUGCCUCUCACUGUUGCUCACUGUGGUCAGUGCUCUCAGGAGGUCAUGACCUGUUGUCCAGAAAACAUUACUGACACCAUCAGACCCGAAAGCAUCAUCAAUAGAAUACUGGGACAGCACUUGGGUGGCUCCCUGGUCCAUCUGAACAGCAUCAGGGAAGCCAAGAAGGUAUUUGGCUUACAUCCUUGCUAAGGGGCUGUGGCAGGGUACCCAUUUAGGCUAGGGUUUGUGUUUGAAUAGGACUCAGGAAUAAGACAUCACCUCCACUCCCAGAGAGAAGAGUCUAGGAGAGUUGAGUGUAAGUUUCCAUAGGACACACGCAGAAUGGAACUUAACGGACUAUCCAGCAAGGCACCCAUGUGAAUCGGUAGGAUCCUUGGAAAAUCAACAAGGCAGGGCCUGAGAAACAGGCUGAGAGAGAGCAGAGGGGGCCUGCUCCAGCUCAGACACUGUCAGAGGCAGAGAAAGAUUAGAUGCAGGAUCUGGGCUGCUCAUGAGACACAGCAGUGGUGAGUUUAGCAAGUCACCAAGGCAACAGAGCUCACCUGUAGAUUCUACAGGGUGGCAAUAGCCUCACCCCUGACCUAUGGGGAUUGGAGAGUGAGGUGGGGACUAUUAAGGGAACUGAGUCCAGCUGAACUAUUUUUUAUUGUCUCAGGCCCCCCAACUCCACAUUCCGCCAGCCUUGGGAAUCCAUCGCUGCCCUUCACUUUAAGGAUGGCUGGGGAUCAGAGUGGCAUGUGACCCUCUUCUCGGCCUCAAAGCCCUAUCGGUGAUGUGACCUUCUCCAACAUCCAGACACUGUGUCUUCUGUCCCAGGGGUGCUGCUGGAUCCACUCCUUGCUCACACCCCGAGAGUUUUAUGACCUUCUUGGGAAGUUAGGCACAUUUGAGAGGCAUGGCAGAGAACACUCAGGCAGCCAUGGUCUCAGGCCCACCUGAGCAUGGAGCCUGGGUAGCCCAUGGAAGAUGCUUAAUGGAUGUUCAGGAAGGAGGGAAGGGAGGCAUGGAGAGAGAGGAGACUUGCCAAGGUCAAAACAGUGGUUGUGUAGAGUCGGGCCUCACUCCACAGCCUCCACAGGCAUGCUCACAAAUCUUUAUUCACACACUCGCUGGCCUCUUAGAGGAGCUAAGGACCUGAGCAUUCCAUACUGGGAUGAGGGUUUGGAGUGAUCAGGACAAGCUCACAAAGGACUCCACACCAAGACAGACGGGCAGAACAUUGUUGUCUCAGAGUCACAGGUUAAAGUCAGUGGUGAUCAAGGUUUGUUCUUUGUUUUGUUUUGUUUCUGAGACAGAGUUUCUCUGUGUAGUCCUGGCUGUCCUGAAAUUUGCUCUGUAGCCCAGGCUGGCCUCGAACUCACAGAGAUCUUCCUGCCUCUGCCUCCCUGAGUCCUGGAAUUAAAGGUGCGCGCCACCAUACCCAGCUCAAGGUUUGUUUUGUAAUCAGGAGAACGAAUCACCGUUAGAGACCAUGUUAGAUUACACAAACCUGCUAGACAGAGCUACCGUGUCCUCUCAGCUGUUUCCUAGUUUGCUUUGCUUUCUACUGCAGGGAGAAACACCACGACCAAAAGCAACUUUGUGAGCAACGGGAAAGGCUCACAUGUCUAUGUCACAGUCCAUCACUGAGUGAAGUCAGGAACCUAUAGGUUCCUGAAGCAGAGAUCACGGAAGGAUGCUGCCUACUGGCUUCCUCCCCUACAGCCUUCUCAGCUUGUUGUCUUAUACAACCCAGGACCACCUGCCCAGGAUGGCACUGUCCACAGUCAGUGGGGCCUUCCUACAUCAAUCCUUAAUGAAGAAAAUGCCCCCACAGACAUGCACACAGGCCGAUACAAUGGAGGCAGUUCCUCAACUGAGGUUCCCUCUUCCUAAGGAACUCUAGUUUGUGACAAAAACUAUCACAUCCCUCUUACCCAAGUGUCAUCCCCACCCUAAUCUCCAAAAUGGCUGGAGCAGUGGAGCAAUACUAAUUCAUUUCCCAUAAUGGAGAAGCGGGGAAACUGAGGUACAAAGAACUCAAAGGAUUAUCUCAAGCUCAUUUGCUAUUGGGACCAGAGACAUAAGAAUUGAGAUGCCUCCUCUCCCAAGCUCAGGGCUUGUCUACUAGUUCUAGGCCAGUCUGGAGAUUCCCAGGAGCCCUGGGUGUGUCUGGGCAAAGGCAUGCUUCAGUCUGGCAUUUCAAUCUGGCAGUCCAGCCAGAGCAAACAUCUCCUGGUGUUAUAAUCCCUUCAGUGAGAAAACUAGGUUUGAAUCACUUGAGAUGUUAUCUCCAGCAAAGCAGGAAAGGUAUCCUGGUGGUCGGGAUCCAAGGAAUACCACAAAGUCACACCACACAACAAACCUCACACAAGAGAUUUAUUGGGAAAGAUACAGGGAGGUGGCUGCCUCUGCUUGGGAGAGAAGCAGCAGAGAACUGAGCAAGAGGCAUGUUUUAUUUAUGUUUUCUGGGGGGUGGACUUUUCCAGGGUAGAGAUUUCCAGGGUGGGGAUUGGUGGGAUUUCAAGUCCUGGAAUUGAGUUUGGACUUUUUACCCUACAAUAGGACCCAGAAAACCAUUAGGGACUGUGGUUUGGUCUAAGGAGGUAAAGAUUUAGUAGCUGCAUGGACUGUCAGUGAAGACAUUUAUGCUUGCUGGACUUCUGGUCAUUUAUGCAUUGGCCUAGUGGUAUGACUUUGGUAACUUGAAGAAAAAGCCUGUUCUUUCCUCACAGACACUUUAGAGAGCUGACCAACAUUAGAAGCUAACACGGCUUUCUGACUGUCUUCUCUGGCUCUGUCUUGGUUAGGACUCUUUCUACCAGGCCUUUGCUGGGUCUCAUGACAAAUUUUCCUCUCAAUGGCUUUGUGGCUGACAUGGCUAGCUCGGGCUUGGGAUGACAUGAAACAUCUAAGAUGGACAGCAUAUACACUCGCUUGUUCAUUACUUAGUUAUUAACCCCACCCCCCCCAUACAACCAAGGUAAGAAAUGCUUUUAAGAGAAAAGCCGCUCCCUGAUGAUAGUCAAACCACCCUUCAUUGUAUAGCAGUUUCCUCCAGGGUUAAAACCUUCCGUCCUGAAGAAAAGCUUCUUGAGACACAGGAUGUAAAGGGAAAGUAAAAUAAAUAAAUAAAUAAAUAAAAAGCAGGAGAGGGGGAUAUUUGGGGAUGAAAUAUUUUAGAAGGAGGUAAAACAACAGAAUGUUCUAGGGGGAAGUGAAACACUCCACCCUGCGGGAAAGUUUCAUUAAGACAGGAAGAGAACAACUCAUAAUAGCCUAAGGAAGUUCCUGAAACUGACCAGAUUCACUAGGCCCCUCCCUCCCCUAGAGUAAACAGUAAAGACUGCUGAGAGUCACUCCCAGACAAGCUAAGCUGCAAAGAUGAAGAAGGGACCAGCCACACUGCCUAGAAGAAACUAAGACCUGCAGAGCUGACUGGAAGAGGUUUAGACCAACCGAGGCACCUGGAAAGGACACUCUUCCACCUGUUGAGCUGCCUGUAGGCUGUGCAGUGUGCUCCAGAUUCCCAGUGUCUGUGAGCUGUCAUUCAUGCUGGGCUUUGGGGAUGCAACUGUCUUUGAGUCAUUUCUGCUCCUGUAAGUGACCCCUCACCCAUAUUCCUGUAGGUAACCCCAGUAAUGCUCAUGGGUUCACUAAGGUGGACUCUGGUGGUAUCUGUACUUUGUUCUGUUACGGGUUUCCUAUCUGGGGUGAAUGGACGUGUGUGUUAUCUCUCUCCUGCAGCACCCCUCCACAAUCACCCGGCACAGCUGCUCUGUUACGCUCUGCUCCCCCAGCACCAUUUACCCAUUUGCCGUAUUUUACAGUUUGCCAAAGACUUUUUGACUGUAUAUUCUCACUUGAUCCUCACAAAAAUGCUGUGGAGCAGGCCAGGCAAGCAUGACCAGAGCGGCAGGAGUCAUGUUCCAUGAUGUUGCUAGUUAACAUUUAUUGAACAAAUAUUGAUUCCUAUGUAUUUAUAGGUGGUAUCUAGUCAGAUUUGCUGAUGUGGUUCCCAGGACUCUUUCAGACCACACCAGGUGCUCUCUCCUAAGGCUAGAAAUGAAAAUGACUUUUCCAUUGGACAUAGGUUAAGAGACUUAAUAUGGUGUAGGCAAUGCACAGCAACUUGGUAGAUCCUAAUGGGUCAUGCUUCAUCUGAAUAACGAAUCAGAGGCUCUCAUACUUGCAGCACAAAGACACACUUGGAGAGGAAUCAUUUAUUGAGAUGAUCAGUGGCUUUUAAACAUUUUAAGACCAUUCUUAAGUUCGACUCUGGCUCAGUCAGUAGCUCAGUGGUAGAAUACUUGCUGGGCAUAUGCUAGGCCCUGGGUUCAAUCCCAGCCCUAAGUAAAACAGAGAAGAUCAAGUCUUACCAAGCAGCUUGGUGCAGAGAACCCAAAACCUUGCUUAUUUUUUCUUAGAUAAUUUCUACAAUGACCGGGUAAUUUAUGAAUUUAUUUCCAACAGUCUUGGAGACUUGAGGCCACAUCUGUUAAGAAUCUUCUUGUGAUGGGGAGUUGAUGGGGAGUCUACAGAAUUCCCAAGAUAGUACAGGGAUCACCUGGCUACUGCAGUGGCCUAGCUCAGGCCUCCUCUGAUCAACAUGACUUGGGGAUAUUCAAGUCAUGGCAGGGUCUUCAGAGAAACCCUUUAUUUAUUGAUGAGGAAACGGGCCCAGAGGCCCAGGGAGAGGCCACGUGGAGAUCGGGUACCUGAGCAGAAGCUGGGGCCACAACCAAUGUAAUCAGUGUAUUCCCAUCAUGGUCCCUUAUCAAGAACGGGUUGAACUUCCCAGGUCAUCUUUAGAGCAUGCACCUCCCCACUUCCUUUCUGCUUUCGAACCCCAUCCUGCCAUUUCUUCGGCCUUUCUCAAGCUGGUCCCUCCUUUCAGAAAGCAUUUCCACCUGUGAACUUCGAGACCUAGGUCAAAGUGUCUCCUCUCCCCAGGGAGCUCUCUGGAUCCCAGCCAGGGAGACCUUACAUUUGAGUCCCCUCAGAUCUGCUGGGGAGAGUCAGGAUGCUCUGCUUUGCCUUAGUCCCGCCCCCAAAGGCCAGCCCUCCUUAAGAGGCCACAGAACUGAAAGCAGAUCUUCCAACUCUGAUGUACGCUUCAAAAAGCAUCAUUCAAAAUUGUCAUCCCGGGUAGCACGCACGUACGUGUGCGUAUUCGAAACAAAUCUGGCUAUGUAGCCCGGCCUGGCUUUGAAUUCAGUCCUCCAGCCUCUGUCUCCUGAGGCAGUACUACCUCAGCUUUGUUAAUGGGAUCGCCCUGUGGAAUCAGCCUCAGUACUACAGUCCUCAAGCCCUGGCUAGAUUACGUACGGUAGAGCUGUUUAAAAUGAUAGGAGCAGUUGCUCUGGGCUGUCUCCUUCAUAGCCUCAACAGAGCAGGCUAACACUCAAAAUGGACUCAUCCAGUGAUGAAGUCCACUGAGCUUUCUAUCUGACCUGAGACAUCAAGAUUGGACACACUGCGCUCAAAUUUCCUGAAUGUGCCAGUUGGAAGUGCAGAGGAAUUAAGCUCUUCUACCUUAAUCCUUCCACGGAUCGCUAAAGAGCCACUUGCCAAUCAAUUGUUUUUAUAUUUCUCAGUCUACCUGUCCUCACUGUAUAAAAAAAGCAACUUGGAAAAUGACCGAUCUAUAUUUUGGUUUUGUUUUCUUCAGCGAUUUUGUGUCUAUAAAACCAACUCCUUCAGUUUGGCUUAUUGGAAUACUUGAUUCUGUUUCAUGCGAUCAAAAUAUUGCUAGAUUCUAAAAUUGAAAAUAAAGCCAAUUAAGAUUGUUA